This 694-nucleotide ribosomal RNA is filed under the name uncultured Lactobacillus sp. Its description in RNAcentral is "bacterial SSU rRNA". It matches the Rfam family "Bacterial small subunit ribosomal RNA", at positions 72 to 736 of the family's 1533-position model. The record is from RNAcentral. Lineage: Bacteria; Bacillati; Bacillota; Bacilli; Lactobacillales; Lactobacillaceae.
CUUUAUCACCGAGUGCUUGCACUCACCGAUAAAGAGUUGAGUGGCGAACGGGUGAGUAACACGUGGGCAACCUGCCCAAAAGAGGGGGAUAACACUUGGAAACAGGUGCUAAUACCGCAUAACCAUAGUUACCGCAUGGUAACUAUGUAAAAGGUGGCUAUGCUACCGCUUUUGGAUGGGCCCGCGGCGCAUUAGCUAGUUGGUGGGGUAAAGGCUUACCAAGGCAAUGAUGCGUAGCCGAACUGAGAGGUUGAUCGGCCACAUUGGGACUGAGACACGGCCCAAACUCCUACGGGAGGCAGCAGUAGGGAAUCUUCCACAAUGGGCGAAAGCCUGAUGGAGCAACGCCGCGUGGGUGAAGAAGGUCUUCGGAUCGUAAAACCCUGUUGUUAGAGAAGAAAGUGCGUGAGAGUAACUGUUCACGUUUCGACGGUAUCUAACCAGAAAGCCACGGCUAACUACGUGCCAGCAGCCGCGGUAAUACGUAGGUGGCAAGCGUUAUCCGGAUUUAUUGGGCGUAAAGGGAACGCAGGCGGUCUUUUAAGUCUGAUGUGAAAGCCUUCGGCUUAACCGGAGUAGUGCAUUGGAAACUGGGAGACUUGAGUGCAGAAGAGGAGAGUGGAACUCCAUGUGUAGCGGUGAAAUGCGUAGAUAUAUGGAAGAACACCAGUGGCGAAAGCGGCUCUCUGGUCUG